RNAcentral lists this ribosomal RNA (253 nucleotides) under uncultured bacterium. RNAcentral describes it as "partial 16S ribosomal RNA". It matches the Rfam family "Bacterial small subunit ribosomal RNA", at positions 524 to 776 of the family's 1533-position model. The record is from RNAcentral.
UACGAAGGGGGCUAGCGUUGUUCGGAAUCACUGGGCGUAAAGGGCGCGUAGGCGGCCGAUCAAGUCGGGGGUGAAAGCCUGUGGCUCAACCACAGAAUUGCCUUCGAUACUGUUUGGCUUGAGACCGGAAGAGGUUAGUGGAACUGCGAGUGUAGAGGUGAAAUUCGUAGAUAUUCGCAAGAACAGCAGUGGCGAAGGCGGCUGACUGGUCCGGUUCUGACGCUGAGGCGCGAAAGCGUGGGGAGCAAACAGG